This 833-nucleotide ribosomal RNA is filed under the name uncultured bacterium. Its description in RNAcentral is "bacterial SSU rRNA". It matches the Rfam family "Bacterial small subunit ribosomal RNA", at positions 547 to 1381 of the family's 1533-position model. The record is from RNAcentral.
GGAUUUAUUGGGCGUAAAGCGAGCGCNGGCGGUUAGAUAAGUCUGAAGUUAAAGGCUGUGGNUUAACCAUAGUACGCUUUGGAANCUGUUUAACUUGAGUGCAGAAGGGGAGAGUGGAAUUCCAUGUGUAGCGGUGAAAUGCGUAGAUAUAUGGAGGAACACCGGUGGCGAAAGCGGCUCUCUGGUCUGUAACUGACGCUGAGGCUNGAAAGCGUGGGGAGCGAACAGGAUUAGAUACCCUGGUAGUNCACGCCGUAAACGAUGAGUGCUAGGUGUUAGGCCCUUUCCGGGGCUUAGUGCCGCAGCUAACGCAUUAAGCACUCCGCCUGGGGAGUACGACCGCAAGGUUGAAACUCAAAGGAAUUGACGGGGGCCCGCACAAGCGGUGGAGCAUGUGGUUUAAUUCGAAGCAACGCGAAGAACCUUACCAGGUCUUGACAUCCCGAUGCCCGCUCUAGAGAUAGAGUUUUACUUCGGUACAUCGGUGACAGGUGGUGCAUGGUUGUCGUCAGCUCGUGUCGUGAGAUGUUGGGUUAANNNNNNCAACGAGCGCAACCCUUAUUGUUAGUUGCCAUCAUUCAGUUGGGCACUCUAGCGAGACUGCCGGUAAUAAACCGGAGGAAGGUGGGGAUGACGUCAAAUCAUCAUGCCCCUUAUGACCUGGGCUACACACGUGCUACAAUGGCUGGUACAACGAGUCGCAAGUCGGUGACGGCAAGCUAAUCUCUUAAAGCCAGUCUCAGUUCGGAUUGUAGGCUGCAACUCGCCUACAUGAAGUCGGAAUCGCUAGUAAUCGCGGAUCAGCACGCCGCGGUGAGUACGUUCCCGGGCCU